GGUUAAGCGACUAAGCGUACACGGUGGAUGCCCUGGCAGUCAGAGGCGAUGAAGGACGUGCUAAUCUGCGAUAAGCGUCGGUAAGGUGAUAUGAACCGUUAUAACCGGCGAUUUCCGAAUGGGGAAACCCAGUGUGAUUCGUCACACUAUCAUUAACUGAAUCCAUAGGUUAAUGAGGCGAACCGGGGGAACUGAAACAUCUAAGUACCCCGAGGAAAAGAAAUCAACCGAGAUUCCCCCAGUAGCGGCGAGCGAACGGGGAGCAGCCCAGAGCCUGAAUCAGUGUGUGUGUUAGUGGAAGCGUCUGGAAAGGCGUGCGAUACAGGGUGACAGCCCCGUACACAAAAAUGCACAUACUGUGAGCUCGAUGAGUAGGGCGGGACACGUGGUAUCCUGUCUGAAUAUGGGGGGACCAUCCUCCAAGGCUAAAUACUCCUGACUGACCGAUAGUGAACCAGUACCGUGAGGGAAAGGCGAAAAGAACCCCGGCGAGGGGAGUGAAAAAGAACCUGAAACCGUGUACGUACAAGCAGUGGGAGCACGCUUAGGCGUGUGACUGCGUACCUUUUGUAUAAUGGGUCAGCGACUUAUAUUCUGUAGCAAGGUUAACCGAAUAGGGGAGCCGAAGGGAAACCGAGUCUUAACUGGGCGUUAAGUUGCAGGGUAUAGACCCGAAACCCGGUGAUCUAGCCAUGGGCAGGUUGAAGGUUGGGUAACACUAACUGGAGGACCGAACCGACUAAUGUUGAAAAAUUAGCGGAUGACUUGUGGCUGGGGGUGAAAGGCCAAUCAAACCGGGAGAUAGCUGGUUCUCCCCGAAAGCUAUUUAGGUAGCGCCUCGUGAAUUCAUCUCCGGGGGUAGAGCACUGUUUCGGCAAGGGGGUCAUCCCGACUUACCAACCCGAUGCAAACUGCGAAUACCGGAGAAUGUUAUCACGGGAGACACACGGCGGGUGCUAACGUCCGUCGUGAAGAGGGAAACAACCCAGACCGCCAGCUAAGGUCCCAAAGUCAUGGUUAAGUGGGAAACGAUGUGGGAAGGCCCAGACAGCCAGGAUGUUGGCUUAGAAGCAGCCAUCAUUUAAAGAAAGCGUAAUAGCUCACUGGUCGAGUCGGCCUGCGCGGAAGAUGUAACGGGGCUAAACCAUGCACCGAAGCUGCGGCAGCGACGCUUAUGCGUUGUUGGGUAGGGGAGCGUUCUGUAAGCCUGUGAAGGUGUGCUGUGAGGUAUGCUGGAGGUAUCAGAAGUGCGAAUGCUGACAUAAGUAACGAUAAAGCGGGUGAAAAGCCCGCUCGCCGGAAGACCAAGGGUUCCUGUCCAACGUUAAUCGGGGCAGGGUGAGUCGACCCCUAAGGCGAGGCCGAAAGGCGUAGUCGAUGGGAAACAGGUUAAUAUUCCUGUACUUGGUGUUACUGCGAAGGGGGGACGGAGAAGGCUAUGUUGGCCGGGCGACGGUUGUCCCGGUUUAAGCGUGUAGGCUGGUUUUCCAGGCAAAUCCGGAAAAUCAAGGCCGAGGCGUGAUGACGAGGCACUACGGUGCUGAAGCAACAAAUGCCCUGCUUCCAGGAAAAGCCUCUAAGCAUCAGGUAACAUCAAAUCGUACCCCAAACCGACACAGGUGGUCAGGUAGAGAAUACCAAGGCGCUUGAGAGAACUCGGGUGAAGGAACUAGGCAAAAUGGUGCCGUAACUUCGGGAGAAGGCACGCUGAUACGUAGGUGAAGCGACUUGCUCGUGGAGCUGAAAUCAGUCGAAGAUACCAGCUGGCUGCAACUGUUUAUUAAAAACACAGCACUGUGCAAACACGAAAGUGGACGUAUACGGUGUGACGCCUGCCCGGUGCCGGAAGGUUAAUUGAUGGGGUUAGCGCAAGCGAAGCUCUUGAUCGAAGCCCCGGUAAACGGCGGCCGUAACUAUAACGGUCCUAAGGUAGCGAAAUUCCUUGUCGGGUAAGUUCCGACCUGCACGAAUGGCGUAAUGAUGGCCAGGCUGUCUCCACCCGAGACUCAGUGAAAUUGAACUCGCUGUGAAGAUGCAGUGUACCCGCGGCAAGACGGAAAGACCCCGUGAACCUUUACUAUAGCUUGACACUGAACAUUGAGCCUUGAUGUGUAGGAUAGGUGGGAGGCUUUGAAGUGUGGACGCCAGUCUGCAUGGAGCCGACCUUGAAAUACCACCCUUUAAUGUUUGAUGUUCUAACGUGGACCCGUGAUCCGGGUUGCGGACAGUGUCUGGUGGGUAGUUUGACUGGGGCGGUCUCCUCCUAAAGAGUAACGGAGGAGCACGAAGGUUGGCUAAUCCUGGUCGGACAUCAGGAGGUUAGUGCAAUGGCAUAAGCCAGCUUGACUGCGAGCGUGACGGCGCGAGCAGGUGCGAAAGCAGGUCAUAGUGAUCCGGUGGUUCUGAAUGGAAGGGCCAUCGCUCAACGGAUAAAAGGUACUCCGGGGAUAACAGGCUGAUACCGCCCAAGAGUUCAUAUCGACGGCGGUGUUUGGCACCUCGAUGUCGGCUCAUCACAUCCUGGGGCUGAAGUAGGUCCCAAGGGUAUGGCUGUUCGCCAUUUAAAGUGGUACGCGAGCUGGGUUUAGAACGUCGUGAGACAGUUC
This 2606-nucleotide ribosomal RNA is filed under the name Shigella flexneri. RNAcentral's name for it is "partial 23S ribosomal RNA". It matches the Rfam family "Bacterial large subunit ribosomal RNA", at positions 1 to 2632 of the family's 2925-position model. The record is from RNAcentral. Lineage: Bacteria; Pseudomonadati; Pseudomonadota; Gammaproteobacteria; Enterobacterales; Enterobacteriaceae.